RNAcentral lists this ribosomal RNA (479 nucleotides) under uncultured bacterium. RNAcentral's name for it is "partial 16S ribosomal RNA". It matches the Rfam family "Bacterial small subunit ribosomal RNA", at positions 28 to 507 of the family's 1533-position model. The record is from RNAcentral.
GAUGAACGCUAGCGGGAGGCCUAACACAUGCAAGCCGAGCGGUAUUUGUUCUUCGGAACAGAGAGAGCGGCGCACGGGUGCGGAACACGUGUGCAACCUGCCUUUAUCUGGGGGAUAGCCUUUCGAAAGGAAGAUUAAUACCCCAUAAUAUAUUGAGUGGCAUCAUUUGAUAUUGAAAACUCCGGUGGAUAGAGAUGGGCACGCGCAAGAUUAGAUAGUUGGUGAGGUAACGGCUCACCAAGUCAAUGAUCUUUAGGGGGCCUGAGAGGGUGAUCCCCCACACUGGUACUGAGACCCGGACCAGACUCCUACGGGAGGCAGCAGUGAGGAAUAUUGGACAAUGGGUUAGCGCCUGAUCCAGCCAUCCCGCGUGAAGGACGACGGCCCUAUGGGUUGUAAACUUCUUUUGUAUAGGGAUAAACCUACUCUCGUGAGAGUAGCUGAAGGUACUAUACGAAUAAGCACCGGCUAACUCCGUG